UCUCCGCGUCGAGGCCGCCAAGCCGGUCG
RNAcentral lists this small RNA (29 nucleotides) under Bombyx mori (domestic silkworm). RNAcentral describes it as "piRNA piR-bmo-2062529". Lineage: Eukaryota; Metazoa; Arthropoda; Insecta; Lepidoptera; Bombycidae. The record is from RNAcentral.